This is a long non-coding RNA of Equus quagga, 4276 nucleotides long. RefSeq lists it as uncharacterized. The record is from RefSeq and is a predicted model, not a curated record. The transcript is spliced from 4 exons. NCBI's taxonomy places the organism in Eukaryota, Metazoa, Chordata, Mammalia, Perissodactyla, Equidae.
GGUGUCACUUACUAGGACGUCUUCCAGGCAGGGACAGAGGCUGGGAGGCCCAGGGAGGGUGUGUUCAGGGCCUUUGACCCACACGUGUGGCCAGGAAGCAAAGACAGGAAGGAGAGCCGAGUUGAUCUUGCACAGCCAGGAAUUCUCCCCGAGGUCUGACCUGCUUUCUGUGAAUCCUGUUGAAAUCCAUUUCCUCUCCCCCAGGGCCCUUCAGGGCUGUUUUCCCUGGAGGCUCUGGGAGCACCAGUGGGUGCUCAUGUGACUUCAUGCAUCUUCACCCCUUCUUUCCUCUUCUGUCUCCACCUCCUCUCUGCCUCUUCCUCCGCCCCUUCUCCCCUCCCCCUAGACAAGCUUUCAGGUUUAGGGGAGCUGUGGAGUGAUGGGGACAUGCUGUGGGGAGUAAAAGAGAAGUGUGUUCGGAUCCAGACCCAAUAAAGCAGCCUCAGUCCACCUUUCCAGGUCUAGGUAGAUGGGAAAGCUGAGCAGAGUGGGUGGGAAUCUGGCAGACCCAGACAUUGGGUCCCCAAGUGUCAGAUUCUAACAGGGCUGGCCCGGGAGCCACCCCUCAGAAAUGCAGAGUGAAAACGCUUAGAGGCCCUGGAAACAGAAAAAUGGGCCGUCAUGCAGGCUGGUUUGCUCUUCUCUCCUGGUUGCAAUUAGGCGUCUGCUACCCAGGGCUUUGAGAGUUCGUAAACAUCUUGGCAGGACACGUUCCCAGGGCCCUUAGCCUUCGCUGACCACCCAUGGCUGGUCCAGCAGGCCUGGCUGGAAUCCUGGCCCCGUGCCUCCUGGUUGUGGCCUCUCCUCACUUUUCCGACCUUAGCUUUCUAGCAUGAAGAUCCUGCCUCAGAGAGAUGCUAUGGAGAUGGAAAGUGCAGGUGAGUGGCUUGUGCCAGACAGACCAGUGCAUGGGAAGAACCCACUUUAUGUCUCAUCCUGGAUCGCAACGUCUGCUCGCCGAGAGCCAGUGUGUGCGAGCCAUUCACAGAGCCAAAAGGGAGUUAGGGACCAGGAAGGACUGAGAAAGCUUAUGGGUCCCCUGCCCUCAGGACCACAAACAAGGCCACCCUCACCCAACCCAGGAGGCCCUCCCCACCUCUUCCCUCUGCCUGGGGCUCCCUCACCCCUUCAUUUAGGGAAGAAGAGGUGUCCAGGCUGGAGAGAUUGACGGAAGGAGCAGCUUCACAGACCAGUUGCCUCUGGUGGGGGCGGUGCACUGGGGUUGGCUCCCACCCCACACCAGCAGGGGUGGGCUGCUGAGAGCAGGGGUGGGAGGGAGGCAGCGCAGGCAGGUUGCCGUGGGGAGGCGAGGAUCGAAUGGGGAAGCAGACGGCCUAGAGGCACACCUCGUGGGCUACUCCUGGUUCCCUCCACCCUGGGCUGUGAGUCCCUCGGUGCUUCCAGCCACUGUGGAAUGGGACUGCCAGCAGUGCCACCAGGCUUCUCCCGGGGCAGGGUGCCGUUGGCAGCAGUGAUGGGGAGGCCAGCAGCUGGGGUGCUUCCCCCCGCCCCCCAUCAUCCUAAGAGCUCUUCCACCACUGGCCUCGGGUUAUAGCACAGAACCUGCAGGCAGGGAGCACACCAACAUCCUUUGUCCUGCACAGCUUGCAGCAGCCGCCAGAACCUCAGGCAGGGGGUCUGCCCAGCCGAUCUGCUGGCCACCUGGGCCUUGCCUCCUGGCAGUUCCCCAGGGGAGAAGGGAAACAAUGGAAGUCACCAAGGCCAUGGGCAAGGGGAAGAGGGAUGUAGGGUCCUGUGAUUCCCCUGAGUGCACCACCUUGCUCCAUUGGGUCUGUUUUUAUCUAUCAAUAAAAGAGAGUUCUAAGAACCAAGUGGCGAUGUGUAUAUCUGUUCACCAGUACUGGAACGUUUUCACAGCAGAAUCGGAAACCCCCAUGACUGCUUGCAGGAGAUGGAUCACUCAUGGAGGCAUAUGCCGUGAUGGAAGAUUCUGGGACACCACGUGUCUGACUUGUUCACGCCAGAAACUUUCGCUUCCAUGGCUGCCCUAACCACCCUGAAGGCAAAGCCUGGAUUAAGUCACCGGGUGGCAAGAGCUUUUCCAGCAGGUCCCAGCAGCUGGAUGGGGAGGACGGCGCCUGAAACACCUGUCCCGGGGCUAGUGUUGUUCAUACAAGCAGUCGCAGACGUACAAGAGUGCGUAUUUGUCUUUCCAAGCACCGGACCGUGAGAACCACACUUGCCUUGGGAAUCUUGCUGGGUUUGGGGCGGCAUUUUCAGACGGCCUUCACCGCACCUCGGAACCUCGGGAGAGCAUUCCAGAGUCUGCCUCUUUCCAUGCUGCGCUGGACCGGAACUCGGGCCUUGAAUCUCCUUGUUUGUUUAGAACAUUAUUGAGAUGGGGCUCGGAGAAGACAAGUGACUUGCUGGCUUGCACAGUUGGAGACUGGUGGUUGAGACUGAAGCCCUGCUGGGUGGAACUGUCUGCUGCCUCCCUGGCCCUUCCUUCCCACCCAGGUCCAUGGCCUCUUGCUCCCAUGCCCUUUCCCUGGAGUCCUGUGAGAUGAAGGCCUGGUAUGGCCAUGAGAAUGGGUAGGCCCCAGGGUGCUUUGACAUUUCUAGUAAAGCCUGUAGGGACCCCUUUUUCCCCCAGUGGGACCCUUUGGAGUCUUAUGACCUCAAUGGCCUCCCACUGGGAGACACUGACCCUCACUUGUCAACAAAUGGCGGGCCAGAUCCUCAGUGACUUACAGCAAAAUCAGAUCCCUCGUCAGAUAUGGCUCUGCGAGAUGGAACUCUCAGGAGCGCUGGUCAAUUCUGUGCCUGAGCCAGUGCGCUGUCUCCCCCUGGAAGCCACACCAGGGUCAGAAGGUGACCUGACUCUGAGCCUGGGCAGGCAGGAGUCAGCAGGUGCAUGUGACAGCCUGAUACACCCCUCCCUUCAGGGCAGUUGGACGGCAGUAGAGUCCAGGCCAGCACCCCUCUGCCUUCCUAGGAGAGCCUUUCCUGGGGUCCUGCAGACCCCCCACCCUCUUUCAGCACAUCCUGCCCUCCUGCUGAGUCCAGGGCAGAAAUUCCCAGUGCUCCCAGAGGUGGUACCCAGGUCAGUGGGAUUGAAAUGAUGUAUGCAGGUGGUUGUGGGAGAUGGGCCAAGGGUGCACUGUGGGAGGGAACCCCCUCUGGGAGAGCUCAGAGGGGCAUCUCGUGCUAUGGAGCCCAGAGCCCCAGACUGCCCUGAAGCAACACCCCCAGAGUUUGAGCACUGCUGGUGUACGGGGCAUGGCAGCUCCGGGGGGCAGAAUCUGGGAUCUGUCAGCUGCAGCCUCAACCAGCUGGGCGUGCUGGGUGGUCCCAUGAGCAUGGGGAGCCUCGGGCUCCCCUCCAGCACCCCUCCCUGGGCUCGGUGUACCUUCUACGACAGCACAUGCCAUGGGAGCUAAAGCUGGUGUUGCUGUUACUGCGUAGUUCUGUGCCACAGUCCUGUGCUCCCUUCCAGAGAGUGUGGCAAGCCUGGAGUGGGGAGGAAGGGUCCUGGACCCAGAUGACAAGGCACAAGGCACGGUCGCAGACACCAUGACAUUUAGCCUUCGACACAUCUGCUGAAGCAGGGCUGUGCAGAUAAAGAAACUGAGGCUUCAUGGUUAAGAGGGUACAUCGACUUUGGAGUUAGGCAGAGCCAAGUUUGCAUCCUGGCUCUGCAUCUUCCCAGCUAUGGGAACUUGGUCAAAUAACUUAACCUCGGUAUGCCUCAGUGUCCUCGUCUGUAAAAUGGGAACAACACAGCAUUGUAUUUAAAGGGCUCUUUUGAGCAUUAGUGGAAGUAAUGUUUGCAAAGUGCUUUAGCACAGGGUAAACACUCAAAGCAUGUUGGCUAGUUGUUUCUGUGAGAAAAAGACAACUUCACAGAGUUGUGCAGGGGCCGUAAAGAGAAGGCCUCUGGAAGACAUAAACCAGCACUGACAGGCAAUUUGCAUUGCAAGAGGACUGUUUCGAAGGGAGGAAGACCAGUCAGGAGGCGUUGCAUUCAGCAUUUCAGGUGGUAAUAGGGAUGGAAAAGAGAGGGUAGAGUUAAAUAUCUAGGAUGUAACAUUGAUAGGAUUUUGUGACUGAGUCGGGGAAAAUGAGAGAGAGUGAGGAGGUAAGUGUAUUGGUGACAGGACAGUUACAAAGUGAUCGGUAGUAUGACCCUGUAUCAACAGGCUAUUGGCAAAUGCACUUUAGGUCAAGAUGAUCUUAGAGGUGUUUUGUCUUGUUGAGAAAUACAGCCUAAAAAAGACUGAUGUGUUUGAAUAUAUAAAUUAAAUACAGAUAACAA